CUGCUCGCACUUUCCAUAUGGAGCUGGGAGCGUUUGCCGGUUGGACGACCUAAGACCGUGAAGUAUGAGGAUUGGGAUGAUAAAGACGACCCACUACGGCUCCCCACUUGGGCUUACAAGUGGGAUGUGUUAAAUGAGACGACGGAUGAUCCCUCUGUAAUGUACAAGUUGUACAAGAGCGAGCUGGACGCGAUCACGCCUGAGCAGGUGAACCGACCUUGCAUAAGUGAUUAUCAUGCUUGUAUCUUCACUCGAUAUCAAUUUUGCAUUCAAUCCCAUUUUGCAGGUGGAAUGGGAGCCGUAUGGAAAAGGAGAGAGUUUUGGUAA
This 327-nucleotide ribosomal RNA is filed under the name Triticum aestivum (bread wheat). Its description in RNAcentral is "partial small subunit ribosomal RNA". Lineage: Eukaryota; Viridiplantae; Streptophyta; Magnoliopsida; Poales; Poaceae. The record is from RNAcentral.